GAUAAACGCUGGCGGCGUGCAUAACACAUGCAAGUCGAACGAUGAAGCUUAACUGAUUUCUUCGGAAUGAUUUUAAGUGGAUUAGUGGCGGACGGGUGAGUAACGCGUGAGUAACCUGCCUUGCACAAGGGGAUAGCCGUUGGAAACGACGAAUAAUACCCUAUGAUAUAAACUCUUCGCAUGAAGGGCUUAUCAAAGAUUUAUCGGUGUAAGAUGGACUCGCGUCUGAUUAGCUAGUUGGUGGGGUAACAGCCUACCAAGGCAACGAUCAGUAGCCGGCUUGAGAGAGUGUACGGCCACAUUGGGACUGAGACACGGCCCAGACUCCUACGGGAGGCAGCAGUGGGGAAUUUUGCACAAUGGGGGAAACCCUGAUGCAGCGACGCCGCGUGAUUUAGAAGGCCUUCGGGUUGUAAAAAUCUUUUGUAUGGGAAGAAAAUGACAGUACCAUACGAAUAAGAACCGGCUAAUUACGUG
RNAcentral lists this ribosomal RNA (477 nucleotides) under uncultured bacterium. RNAcentral describes it as "partial 16S ribosomal RNA". It matches the Rfam family "Bacterial small subunit ribosomal RNA", at positions 28 to 507 of the family's 1533-position model. The record is from RNAcentral.